RNAcentral lists this transfer RNA (71 nucleotides) under Loxodonta africana (African savanna elephant). It matches the Rfam family "tRNA". From Rfam's summary of the family: Transfer RNA (tRNA) molecules are approximately 80 nucleotides in length. Their secondary structure includes four short double-helical elements and three loops (D, anti-codon, and T loops). The record is from Rfam by way of RNAcentral. Lineage: Eukaryota; Metazoa; Chordata; Mammalia; Proboscidea; Elephantidae.
GCAUUGGUAUUUCAGUGGUAAAAUUCCUGCCUUCCAUGUGGGAAACUCAGGUUUGAUUCCUGACCAAUAUA